UGGGGAAUAUUGGACAAUGGGCGAAAGCCUGAUCCAGCAAUGCCGCGUGAGUGAUGAAGGCCUUAGGGUUGUAAAGCUCUUUUACCCGGGAUGAUAAUGACAGUACCGGGAGAAUAAGCCCCGGCUAACUCCGUGCCAGCAGCCGCGGUAAUACGGAGGGGGCUAGCGUUGUUCGGAAUUACUGGGCGUAAAGCGCGCGUAGGCGGCUUUGCAAGUUAGAGGUGAAAGCCCGGGGCUCAACCCCGGAAUUGCCUUUAAAACUGCAUCGCUAGAAUUGUGGAGAGGUGAGUGGAAUUCCGAGUGUAGAGGUGAAAUUCGUAGAUAUUCGGAAGAACACCAGUGGCGAAGGCGACUCACUGGACACAUAUUGACGCUGAGGUGCGAAAGCGUGGGGAGCAAACA
Molecule: ribosomal RNA, 402 nt
Filed under: uncultured Sphingomonas sp.
Lineage: Bacteria; Pseudomonadati; Pseudomonadota; Alphaproteobacteria; Sphingomonadales; Sphingomonadaceae
Description: bacterial SSU rRNA
Rfam family: Bacterial small subunit ribosomal RNA
Source: RNAcentral